This 269-nucleotide long non-coding RNA is filed under the name Trifolium pratense (red clover). RNAcentral describes it as "long non-coding RNA (TPRA_LNC001040)". Lineage: Eukaryota; Viridiplantae; Streptophyta; Magnoliopsida; Fabales; Fabaceae. The record is from RNAcentral.
CUUCAUACCAAACGGACCCUAAAAGAAUUUGUUUCUAAAAUUUUCACCAAUAAUACUGUAACAAUUAAAUUAGUUCUAAAAUUACACGUCCCAGGCUGCUUCGAAUCAUACAAAUUAAAUUAAAGAAAUGGGAAUGAGAUUCAAACUUAAAAUCUAGUGGCAGGCUAACCUUGUGCAAUGGCUUAGGGUCCAAAAUUGUAGGGGUGUAAUUUCUUUUUAUAUACUCUUAAAGGAAAUGUUGCAACGCUGCUUCGCUUUUUGAUUCCUUC